UGACCCGCGAACUCGUUUUCAUAUUGGGGCUCGUCGGCCUAGGUGCGCAGCGCUCGGCCGGCGAACUUCGGUCAGGGCGCCCUCGGUGUGCUGACCAAACAACGAACCCCGGCGCGAACUGCGCCAAGGAAUUUUUACUGAAGAGCGUGUCUAUCGUUGCCCCGUUCGCGGUGUGCACGUUAGGCUUGCGCCUUUGAAACACAAACGACUCUCGGCAACGGAUAUCUCGGCUCUCGCAUCGAUGAAGAACGUAGCGAAAUGCGAUACUUGGUGUGAAUUGCAGAAUCCCGUGAACCAUCGAGUUUUUGAACGCAAGUUGCGCCCGAAGCCAUUAGGCUGAGGGCACGUCUGCCUGGGCGUCACACAUUGCCGUCGCCCCCCUUCCAAAUUUUUCCCAUUCCUGGGGACGUUGGUAGUCGGGCGGAUAUUGGUCUCCCGUGCUCUCGAGCGCGGUUGGCCCAAAAGCGAGUCCUCGGAAACGGACGUCACGACAAGUGGUGGUUGAAAAGCCUUCUUAUCCUGUCGUGCACCAAUUCGUUGUCGCGGGCAUCGAGUUGACCCUGACGCGUCGUCUCUGACGUCGCUUCGAUCGCGACCCCAGGUCAGGCGGGAUUACCCGCUGAG
Molecule: ribosomal RNA, 624 nt
Filed under: embryophyte environmental sample
Lineage: Eukaryota; Viridiplantae; Streptophyta
Description: eukaryotic LSU rRNA
Rfam family: 5.8S ribosomal RNA (bases 207-362)
Source: RNAcentral